GAGGACAUAGCCCUCUAUGACAGCCUUCCAGUCACGCAAGCUGUCCCACCAUGUCUCUGUGAUUGCAACGAGAUCAUGGCCCUGCGACCGAACGCAGAUCUUGAGCUCAUCCUGUUUAUUUCCCAUGCUCUGUGCAUUGGUAUACAGGCACUUUAGGCAAGCAGCAGGCACAGUUACCCCUGGAGGAAUGCAAGAAGAAAAUUCUGGACAAGUUGCAACUUCACGGGAUCCAACCUGAAUGACAACACGAGAAUAGUAAUCCUCCAGUUUAAUGAGCUGUGGCAGAGCCUUCCUAAUGCCUCUGACACAUGUCCCAGGAAGACAGCACACCUCUCUGGAAAGGUUACCUGGGCGACAAAUGGGGACCUCAGUGCCCCUCAGCAAGAACUCUCCAAUCACUAAGACUCUCCAUUCUUUUUUUUUUGUGGCACUGGUUGUGAUGCA
This is a long non-coding RNA of Anas platyrhynchos (mallard), 444 nucleotides long. RefSeq lists it as uncharacterized. The record is from RefSeq and is a predicted model, not a curated record. NCBI's taxonomy places the organism in Eukaryota, Metazoa, Chordata, Aves, Anseriformes, Anatidae.